UACGGAGGGUGCAAGCGUUAUCCGGAUUCACUGGGUUUAAAGGGUGCGUAGGAGGGCAGGUAAGUCAGUGGUGAAAUCCUAGAGCUUAACUCUAGAACUGCCGUUGAUACUAUCUGUCUUGAAUAUUGUGGAGGUGAGCGGAAUAUGUCAUGUAGCGGUGAAAUGCUUAGAUAUGACAUAGAACACCAAUUGCGAAGGCAGCUCGCUAAACAUAUAUUGACUCUGAGGCACGAAAGCGUGGGGAUCAAACAGG
Molecule: ribosomal RNA, 253 nt
Filed under: uncultured bacterium
Lineage: Bacteria
Description: partial 16S ribosomal RNA
Rfam family: Bacterial small subunit ribosomal RNA
Source: RNAcentral